Molecule: ribosomal RNA, 497 nt
Filed under: uncultured bacterium
Lineage: Bacteria
Description: partial 16S ribosomal RNA
Rfam family: Bacterial small subunit ribosomal RNA
Source: RNAcentral
GAUGAACGCUGGCGGCGUGCCUAAUACAUGCAAGUCGAGCGAACAGACGAGAAGCUUGCUCCUUUGACGUUAGCGGCGGACGGGUGAGUAACACGUGGGUAACCUACCUAUAAGACUGGGAUAACUUCGGGAAACCGGAGCUAAUACCGGAUAAUAUUUCGAACCGCAUGGUUCGAUAGUGAAAGAUGGCUCUGCUAUCACUUAUAGAUGGACCUGCGCCGUAUUAGCUAGUUGGUAAGGUAACGGCUUACCAAGGCAACGAUACGUAGCCGACCUGAGAGGGUGAUCGGCCACACUGGAACUGAGACACGGUCCAGACUCCUACGGGAGGCAGCAGUAGGGAAUCUUCCGCAAUGGGCGAAAGCCUGACGGAGCAACGCCGCGUGAGUGAUGAAGGUCUUCGGAUCGUAAAACUCUGUUAUUAGGGAAGAACAAACGUGUAAGUAACUGUGCACGUCUUGACGGUACCUAAUCAGAAAGCCACGGCUAACUACGUG